CUGAGAACAGCAGUCUGUCACAAAUGCCCAGUUCUGUUUGUACAGCAUUCCAUACAAAAGAGAAGAAAACUCUCAUGGGUCUCCACCACGUAGCCCAAGAUGGAAAUGAAAGAUUGCUGAGUGACGUGACAAUACUGUGAGAUGUACCUACCUGUGAGAUGUGAAAUAAUUAAUAUAAUCACGGGGUUAAAAACAAGCCUGAUAGGACAGAUGAGUCCUGCAGGAGCCGUUCUCUUCAUGGAAUCACACUGGCUUCAACUUCAUCAGUGGAUAAAUGAUUCAUUUUUUCCCCGUUUGAGAGCAAGACUUUCUGGAUUCCAGCUUCCAGAGCCAUCCCUUUUUAGAUACUGAAUAUGCAUGACUUUGGCCGCUCACCAACACCCACACAGUUCCUGAUUUGUUUAGGUUCUUUCCCUUCUGGACUGCUGAUGGGACCUUACAAACCAUGCUCAGUCUUCUUUAAAGAGAAUUUGGAUUGUUAUUACCCCA
This 489-nucleotide long non-coding RNA is filed under the name Homo sapiens (human). RNAcentral's name for it is "HSALNT0182293". The record is from RNAcentral. Lineage: Eukaryota; Metazoa; Chordata; Mammalia; Primates; Hominidae.